ACGGGGGGGGCAAGCGUUGUUCGGAAUUACUGGGCGUAAAGGGCUCGUAGGUGGCCAACUAAGUCAGACGUGAAAUCCCCAGGCUUAACCUGGGAACUGCGUCUGAUACUGGAUGGCUUGAAUUCGGGAGAGGGAUGCAGAAUUCCAGGUGUAGCGGUGAAAUGCGUAGAUAUCAGGAGGAAUACCGGUGGUGUAGACGGCUCUCUGGACCGCGACUGACGCUGAGACACGAAAGCGUGGGUAGCAAACAGGA
This 253-nucleotide ribosomal RNA is filed under the name uncultured prokaryote. RNAcentral describes it as "partial 16S ribosomal RNA". It matches the Rfam family "Bacterial small subunit ribosomal RNA", at positions 525 to 777 of the family's 1533-position model. The record is from RNAcentral.